UACGUAGGGGGCAAGCGUUGUCCGGAAUCAUUGGGCGUAAAGCGCGUGUAGGCGGCUGGCUGAGUCCGCUCUGAAAGCCCGGGGCUCAACCCCGGGAGGCGGGUGGAUACUGGUCAGCUCGAGUCCGGAAGAGGAGUGUGGAAUUCCUGGUGUAGCGGUGAAAUGCGCAGAUAUCAGGAGGAACACCAAUGGCGAAGGCAGCACUCUGGGACGGUACUGACGCUGAGACGCGAAAGCGUGGGGAGCAAACAGG
This 253-nucleotide ribosomal RNA is filed under the name uncultured bacterium. Its description in RNAcentral is "partial 16S ribosomal RNA". It matches the Rfam family "Bacterial small subunit ribosomal RNA", at positions 524 to 776 of the family's 1533-position model. The record is from RNAcentral.